Long non-coding RNA from Myotis brandtii (Brandt's bat), 482 nucleotides. RefSeq lists it as uncharacterized. Lineage: Eukaryota; Metazoa; Chordata; Mammalia; Chiroptera; Vespertilionidae. The record is from RefSeq and is a predicted model, not a curated record. The transcript is spliced from 3 exons.
AUUUCCACAAGCAAACUUCAGGUCUUUUUCAAGGCCCAUUGAUAUGACCGAGCAAGCACCUGCCCUCGCUGACCUCUAAAGGUUAACACAUACUAAAGAGCAAUGCUGUCUGAGGAGCAGAGGAACUCUGGAAAACUCUGCUGUCUGAAAUGAAAGCAAGGCACUCUCCACUGACAGCUGGUGGAUUCCUGACUUCCGCCCACAGGAGGCCUGUUCACGCUGAGAGAGCUCUUCCCCAAGGGAGGAAUCACCUGCUUUAAUUCUUGCUGUCCUCUUCUGAGCUAGUUCGGUCAUCCACUCUGUAUACACUUGUGUGUCCACAUGAAGACAAAAAAAGAGAGUUGAAUUGAGAGAUGGCGUGGGAGCCUCCCAAGGCUCUCAUAGUUGCAAUGACUAUGGAAGACAGAAGAACACUGGCUAUCAUCUUUAUUUUCAGCACUAAGUGUCUGGGCCUAUCACUAAAAAUCUUCAUUGCUUCCAAC